AAGCGCCGUUGGAGAGAGGAGAGUAGCUCCCAGCUCAGCCAAAGCCCUGCCCUGCAGCACCUCCAUCCCACCAGACUAGAAGUGGGACAGGACACCUCCCUGCCUGUCACUGAAUGACGAAGGAGGCCCAGAAACCCAUGGCCACAGACGCUAAGUGCCAUGUACCUGAUGUUCAAGAAGUCUGGCUCUCCGUGUCAAGGCAGCAGGGCAGCUGAGGCUUAGCAUCAAGCCAAAGGGCAAGCCAGUUCCUGCCGAUUGCUGUGUAUGUUGGCUCAAAGGUCCUCAUCUUGUUUUCUGAAAAGACAUUUUCCCAACUUCCUCAACUGCUAAUGAAGUACCAAAUCUGCAAAUCACAGUGGAUUGGCUUAAAGGCUUAGAG
Long non-coding RNA from Meriones unguiculatus (Mongolian gerbil), 379 nucleotides. RefSeq lists it as uncharacterized. Lineage: Eukaryota; Metazoa; Chordata; Mammalia; Rodentia; Muridae. The record is from RefSeq and is a predicted model, not a curated record. The transcript has 3 exons.